Molecule: ribosomal RNA, 518 nt
Filed under: uncultured bacterium
Lineage: Bacteria
Description: bacterial SSU rRNA
Rfam family: Bacterial small subunit ribosomal RNA
Source: RNAcentral
UGGCGGUACUGCUUAACACAUGCAAGUCGAGCGAGUAAAAUGACUUCGGUCAUGAGUACAGCGGCGGACGGGUGAGUAAUACAUGGAUAAUCUGCCUUUAGGACCGGGACAACCCAGGGAAACUUGAGCUAAUACCGGAUAAGACCACAGAAUCUUCGGAUUCAGCGGUAAAAGGUGGCUUCGGCUAUCACCUAUUGAUGAGUCCAUGUCCCAUCAGGUAGUUGGUGAGGUAACGGCCCACCAAGCCUAAGACGGGUAGCCGACCUUAGCGGGUGAUCGGCCACACGGGGACUGAGACACGGCCCCGACUCCUACGGGAGGCAGCAGUGGGGAAUAUUGGACAAUGGGCGCAAGCCUGAUCCAGCAAUACCGCGUGAGGGAUGAAGGCCUUCGGGUCGUAAACCUCUGUCAGUUGGAACGAUGGGUUUAAAGGUUAAUACCCCUUAGACUUGACGGUACCUUCAAAGGAAGCCCCGGCUAACUCCGUGCCAGCAGCCGCGGUAAUACGGAGGGGGCAA